GUCUACGGCCAUACCACCCUGAACGCACCCGAUCUUGUCUGAUCUCAGAAGUUAAGCAGGGUCCGGCCUGGUUAGUACUUGGAUGGGAGACCGCCUGGGAAUACCAGGUGCUGUAGGCU
RNAcentral lists this ribosomal RNA (119 nucleotides) under Mus spicilegus (steppe mouse). The record is from RNAcentral. Lineage: Eukaryota; Metazoa; Chordata; Mammalia; Rodentia; Muridae.